CCCAUCAACUGCUGAACUGUUUU
Molecule: microRNA, 23 nt
Filed under: Aedes aegypti (yellow fever mosquito)
Lineage: Eukaryota; Metazoa; Arthropoda; Insecta; Diptera; Culicidae
Description: aae-miR-11920
Source: miRBase by way of RNAcentral